UACAGAGGUCUCAAGCGUUGUUCUGAUUCAUUGGGCGCAAAGGGUGCGUAGGUGGCGCUGUAAGUCGGGUGUGAAAUUUCGAGGCUUAACCUCGAAACUGCAUUCGAUACUGCGGUGCCUGAGGACUGGAGAGGAGACUGGAAUUCAUGGUGUAGCAGUGAAAUGCGUAGAGAUCAUGAGGAAGACCAGUGGCGAAGGCGGGUCUCUGGACAGUUCCUGACACUGAGGCACGAAGGCCAGGGGAGCAAACGGG
RNAcentral lists this ribosomal RNA (253 nucleotides) under uncultured bacterium. RNAcentral describes it as "partial 16S ribosomal RNA". It matches the Rfam family "Bacterial small subunit ribosomal RNA", at positions 524 to 776 of the family's 1533-position model. The record is from RNAcentral.